RNAcentral lists this transfer RNA (73 nucleotides) under Glycomyces harbinensis. Its description in RNAcentral is "tRNA_Arg_CCT". It matches the Rfam family "tRNA". From Rfam's summary of the family: Transfer RNA (tRNA) molecules are approximately 80 nucleotides in length. Their secondary structure includes four short double-helical elements and three loops (D, anti-codon, and T loops). Further hydrogen bonds mediate the characteristic L-shaped molecular structure. tRNAs have two regions of fundamental functional importance: the anti-codon, which is responsible for specific mRNA codon recognition, and the 3' end, to which the tRNAs corresponding amino acid is attached (by aminoacyl-tRNA synthetases). tRNAs cope with the degeneracy of the genetic code in two manners: having more than one tRNA (with a specific anti-codon) for a particular amino acid; and 'wobble' base-pairing, i.e. permitting non-standard base-pairing at the 3rd anti-codon position. RNAcentral also lists the same sequence under 2 other names. The record is from RNAcentral. Lineage: Bacteria; Bacillati; Actinomycetota; Actinomycetes; Glycomycetales; Glycomycetaceae.
GCCCCAGUAGCUCAGGGGAUAGAGCAACGGUUUCCUAAACCGCAGGUCGCAGGUUCGAUUCCUGCCUGGGGCA